This 301-nucleotide ribosomal RNA is filed under the name uncultured bacterium. RNAcentral describes it as "partial 16S ribosomal RNA". It matches the Rfam family "Bacterial small subunit ribosomal RNA", at positions 509 to 807 of the family's 1533-position model. The record is from RNAcentral.
CAGCAGCCACGGGAAUACGAAGGGUGCAAGCGUUACUCGGAAUUACUGGGCGUAAAGCGUGCGUAGGUGGUGGUUUAAGUCCGUUGUGAAAGCCCUGGGCUCAACCUGGGAAUUGCAGUGGAUACUGGGUCACUAGAGUGUGGUAGAGGAUAGUGGAAUUUCCGGUGUAGCAGUGAAAUGCGUAGAGAUCGGAAGGAACAUCUGUGGCGAAGGCGACUAUCUGGGCCAACACUGACACUGAGGCACGAAAGCGUGGGGAGCAAACAGGAUUAGAUACCCGUGUAGUCCCUGUCUCUUAUAC